RNAcentral lists this ribosomal RNA (497 nucleotides) under uncultured bacterium. Its description in RNAcentral is "partial 16S ribosomal RNA". It matches the Rfam family "Bacterial small subunit ribosomal RNA", at positions 28 to 507 of the family's 1533-position model. The record is from RNAcentral.
GACGAACGCUGGCGGCGUGCCUAAUACAUGCAAGUAGAACGCUGAAGAGAGGAGCUUGCUCUUCUUGGAUGAGUUGCGAACGGGUGAGUAACGCGUAGGUAACCUGCCUUGUAGCGGGGGAUAACUAUUGGAAACGAUAGCUAAUACCGCAUAACAAUGGAUGACACAUGUCAUUUAUUUGAAAGGGGCAAUUGCUCCACUACAAGAUGGACCUGCGUUGUAUUAGCUAGUAGGUGAGGUAAUGGCUCACCUAGGCGACGAUACAUAGCCGACCUGAGGGGGAGAUCGGCCACACUGGGAAUGGGACACGGCCCAGGAUCCCACGGGGGGCAGCAGUAGGGGAACUUUGGCAAUGGGGGGAAAGCUGAACGAGGAACGCCGCGGGGGGGGAGAAGGGUUUCGGGUCGUAAAGCUCUGUUGUAAGUCAAGAAAGGGUGUGAGGGUGGAAAGUUCACGCUGUGACGGUAGCUGAACAGAAAGGGACGGCUAACUACGUG